GACGAACGCUGGCGGCGUGCCUAAUACAUGCAAGUGGGACGCAAGGAAACACACUGUGCUUGCACACCGUGUUUUCUUGAGUCGCGAACGGGUGAGUAACGCGUAGGUAACCUGCCUAUUAGCGGGGGAUAACUAUUGGAAACGAUAGCUAAUACCGCAUAAUAUUAAUUAUUGCAUGAUAAUUGAUUGAAAGAUGCAAGCGCAUCACUAGUAGAUGGACCUGCGUUGUAUUAGCUAGUUGGUAAGGUAAGAGCUUACCAAGGCGACGAUACAUAGCCGACCUGAGAGGGUGAUCGGCCACACUGGGACUGAGACACGGCCCAGACUCCUACGGGAGGCAGCAGUAGGGAAUCUUCGGCAAUGGACGAAAGUCUGACCGAGCAACGCCGCGUGAGUGAAGAAGGUUUUCGGAUCGUAAAGCUCUGUUGUAAGUCAAGAACGUGUGUGAGAGUGGAAAGUUCACACAGUGACGGAGCUAC
Molecule: ribosomal RNA, 479 nt
Filed under: Streptococcus mutans
Lineage: Bacteria; Bacillati; Bacillota; Bacilli; Lactobacillales; Streptococcaceae
Description: bacterial SSU rRNA
Rfam family: Bacterial small subunit ribosomal RNA
Source: RNAcentral